RNAcentral lists this ribosomal RNA (1272 nucleotides) under Escherichia coli. RNAcentral describes it as "partial 23S ribosomal RNA". It matches the Rfam family "Bacterial large subunit ribosomal RNA", at positions 612 to 1869 of the family's 2925-position model. The record is from RNAcentral. Lineage: Bacteria; Pseudomonadati; Pseudomonadota; Gammaproteobacteria; Enterobacterales; Enterobacteriaceae.
AUAAUGGGUCAGCGACUUAUAUUCUGUAGCAAGGUUAACCGAAUAGGGGAGCCGAAGGGAAACCGAGUCUUAACUGGGCGUUAAGUUGCAGGGUAUAGACCCGAAACCCGGUGAUCUAGCCAUGGGCAGGUUGAAGGUUGGGUAACACUAACUGGAGGACCGAACCGACUAAUGUUGAAAAAUUAGCGGAUGACUUGUGGCUGGGGGUGAAAGGCCAAUCAAACCGGGAGAUAGCUGGUUCUCCCCGAAAGCUAUUUAGGUAGCGCCUCGUGAAUUCAUCUCCGGGGGUAGAGCACUGUUUCGGCAAGGGGGUCAUCCCGACUUACCAACCCGAUGCAAACUGCGAAUACCGGAGAAUGUUAUCACGGGAGACACACGGCGGGUGCUAACGUCCGUCGUGAAGAGGGAAACAACCCAGACCGCCAGCUAAGGUCCCAAAGUCAUGGUUAAGUGGGAAACGAUGUGGGAAGGCCCAGACAGCCAGGAUGUUGGCUUAGAAGCAGCCAUCAUUUAAAGAAAGCGUAAUAGCUCACUGGUCGAGUCGGCCUGCGCGGAAGAUGUAACGGGGCUAAACCAUGCACCGAAGCUGCGGCAGCGACGCUGAUGCGUUGUUGGGUAGGGGAGCGUUCUGUAAGCCUGCGAAGGUGUGCUGUGAGGCAUGCUGGAGGUAUCAGAAGUGCGAAUGCUGACAUAAGUAACGAUAAAGCGGGUGAAAAGCCCGCUCGCCGGAAGACCAAGGGUUCCUGUCCAACGUUAAUCGGGGCAGGGUGAGUCGACCCCUAAGGCGAGGCCGAAAGGCGUAGUCGAUGGGAAACAGGUUAAUAUUCCUGUACUUGGUGUUACUGCGAAGGGGGGACGGAGAAGGCUAUGUUGGCCGGGCGACGGUUGUCCCGGUUUAAGCGUGUAGGCUGGUUUUCCAGGCAAAUCCGGAAAAUCAAGGCUGAGGCGUGAUGACGAGGCACUACGGUGCUGAAGCAACAAAUGCCCUGCUUCCAGGAAAAGCCUCUAAGCAUCAGGUAACAUCAAAUCGUACCCCAAACCGACACAGGUGGUCAGGUAGAGAAUACCAAGGCGCUUGAGAGAACUCGGGUGAAGGAACUAGGCAAAAUGGUGCCGUAACUUCGGGAGAAGGCACGCUGAUAUGUAGGUGAAGCGACUUGCUCGUGGAGCUGAAAUCAGUCGAAGAUACCAGCUGGCUGCAACUGUUUAUUAAAAACACAGCACUGUGCAAACACGAAAGUGGACGUAUACGGUGUGACGCCUGCCCGGUGC